GUACGUGGCCAAGUCACCCAGACUGCGCCUAAUCUUCUCAGAACUCAGAAGCUCAGCAGGGUUGAACUGAGAAGUGGCUCGGAUGGGUGACAACCACGCAUGACAGGUACUAUAGGUUAGUUUGGUGCUACAUUGU
Molecule: ribosomal RNA, 136 nt
Filed under: Petromyzon marinus (sea lamprey)
Lineage: Eukaryota; Metazoa; Chordata; Hyperoartia; Petromyzontiformes; Petromyzontidae
Source: RNAcentral